UUAAGCGACUAAGCGUACACGGUGGAUGCCCUGGCAGUCAGAGGCGAUGAAGGACGUGCUAAUCUGCGAAAAGCGCCGGCGAGGUGAUAUGAACCUUUGACCCGGCGAUGUCCGAAUGGGGAAACCCAGUGCAAUCCGUUGCACUAUCGUUAACUGAAUACAUAGGUUAACGAGGCGAACCGGGGGAACUGAAACAUCUAAGUACCCCGAGGAAAAGAAAUCAACCGAGAUUCCCCCAGUAGCGGCGAGCGAACGGGGAGCAGCCCGGAGUCUGAAUCAGCUUGUGUGUUAGUGGAACGGUCUGGAAAGUCCGACGGUACAGGGUGAUAGUCCCGUACACGAAAGCACACAUGCUGUGAACUCGAAGAGUAGGGCGGGACACGUGGUAUCCUGUCUGAAUAUGGGGGGACCAUCCUCCAAGGCUAAAUACUCCUGACUGACCGAUAGUGAACCAGUACCGUGAGGGAAAGGCGAAAAGAACCCCGGCGAGGGGAGUGAAAAAGAACCUGAAACCGUGUACGUACAAGCAGUGGGAGCCUCUUUAUGGGGUGACUGCGUACCUUUUGUAUAAUGGGUCAGCGACUUAUAUUCUGUAGCAAGGUUAACCGUAUAGGGGAGCCGAAGGGAAACCGAGUCUUAACUGGGCGUUAAGUUGCAGGGUAUAGACCCGAAACCCGGUGAUCUAGCCAUGGGCAGGUUGAAGGUUGGGUAACACUAACUGGAGGACCGAACCGACUAAUGUUGAAAAAUUAGCGGAUGACCUGUGGCUGGGGGUGAAAGGCCAAUCAAACCGGGAGAUAGCUGGUUCUCCCCGAAAGCUAUUUAGGUAGCGCCUCGUGAACUCAUCUUCGGGGGUAGAGCACUGUUUCGGCUAGGGGGCCAUCCCGGCUUACCAACCCGAUGCAAACUACGAAUACCGAAGAAUGUUAUCACGGGAGACACACGGCGGGUGCUAACGUCCGUCGUGAAGAGGGAAACAACCCAGACCGCCAGCUAAGGUCCCAAAGUCAUGGUUAAGUGGGAAACGAUGUGGGAAGGCACAGACAGCCAGGAUGUUGGCUUAGAAGCAGCCAUCAUUUAAAGAAAGCGUAAUAGCUCACUGGUCGAGUCGGCCUGCGCGGAAGAUGUAACGGGGCUAAACCAUGCACCGAAGCUGCGGCAGCGACGCUUAGGCGUUGUUGGGUAGGGGAGCGUUCUGUAAGCCGUUGAAGGUGUGCUGUGAGGCAUGCUGGAGGUAUCAGAAGUGCGAAUGCUGACAUAAGUAACGAUAAAGCGGGUGAAAAGCCCGCUCGCCGGAAGACCAAGGGUUCCUGUCCAACGUUAAUCGGGGCAGGGUGAGUCGACCCCUAAGGCGAGGCCGAAAGGCGUAGUCGAUGGGAAACAGGUUAAUAUUCCUGUACUUGGUGUUACUGCGAAGGGGGGACGGAGAAGGCUAUGUCAGCCGGGCGACGGUUGUCCCGGUUUAAGCAUGUAGGCGGAGGUUCCAGGUAAAUCCGGUACCUUAUUAACGCUGAGGUGUGAUGACGAGGCACUACGGUGCUGAAGUGAUAAAUGCCCUGCUUCCAGGAAAAGCCUCUAAGCAUCAGGUAACACGAAAUCGUACCCCAAACCGACACAGGUGGUCAGGUAGAGAAUACCAAGGCGCUUGAGAGAACUCGGGUGAAGGAACUAGGCAAAAUGGUGCCGUAACUUCGGGAGAAGGCACGCUGAUAUGUAGGUGAAGUCCCUGCGGACGGAGCUGAAAUCAGUCGAAGAUACCAGCUGGCUGCAACUGUUUAUUAAAAACACAGCACUGUGCAAACACGAAAGUGGACGUAUACGGUGUGACGCCUGCCCGGUGCCGGAAGGUUAAUUGAUGGGGUUAGCGGCAACGCGAAGCUCUUGAUCGAAGCCCCGGUAAACGGCGGCCGUAACUAUAACGGUCCUAAGGUAGCGAAAUUCCUUGUCGGGUAAGUUCCGACCUGCACGAAUGGCGUAAUGAUGGCCAGGCUGUCUCCACCCGAGACUCAGUGAAAUUGAACUCGCUGUGAAGAUGCAGUGUACCCGCGGCAAGACGGAAAGACCCCGUGAACCUUUACUAUAGCUUGACACUGAACACUGGUCCUUGAUGUGUAGGAUAGGUGGGAGGCUUUGAAGCGUGGACGCCAGUCUGCGUGGAGCCAACCUUGAAAUACCACCCUUUAAUGGCUGGUGUUCUAACGUAGACCCGUAAUCCGGGUUGCGGACAGUGUCUGGUGGGUAGUUUGACUGGGGCGGUCUCCUCCCAAAGAGUAACGGAGGAGCACGAAGGUUGGCUAAUCCUGGUCGGACAUCAGGAGGUUAGUGCAAUGGCAUAAGCCAGCUUGACUGCGAGCGUGACGGCGCGAGCAGGUGCGAAAGCAGGUCAUAGUGAUCCGGUGGUUCUGAAUGGAAGGGCCAUCGCUCAACGGAUAAAAGGUACUCCGGGGAUAACAGGCUGAUACCGCCCAAGAGUUCAUAUCGACGGCGGUGUUUGGCACCUCGAUGUCGGCUCAUCACAUCCUGGGGCUGAAGUAGGUCCCAAGGGUAUGGCUGUUCGCCAUUUAAAGUGGUACGCGAGCUGGGUUUAGAACGUCGUGAGACAGUUCGGUCCCUAUCUGCCGUGGGCGCUGGAGAAUUGAGGGGGGCUGCUCCUAGUACGAGAGGACCGGAGUGGACGCAUCACUGGUGUUCGGGUUGUCAUGCCAAUGGCACUGCCCGGUAGCUAAAUGCGGAAGAGAUAAGUGCUGAAAGCAUCUAAGCACGAAACUUGCCCCGAGAUGAGUUCUCCCUGAGACUUUAAGUCUCCUGAAGGAACGUUGAAGACGACGACGUUGAUAGGUCGGGUGUGUAAGCGCAGCGAUGCGUUGAGCUAACCGAUACUAAUGAACCGUGAGGCUUAACCUU
Molecule: ribosomal RNA, 2904 nt
Filed under: Enterobacter sp. MGH 2
Lineage: Bacteria; Pseudomonadati; Pseudomonadota; Gammaproteobacteria; Enterobacterales; Enterobacteriaceae
Also listed under: 6 other names
Description: bacterial LSU rRNA
Rfam family: Bacterial large subunit ribosomal RNA
Source: RNAcentral